Molecule: ribosomal RNA, 416 nt
Filed under: uncultured bacterium
Lineage: Bacteria
Description: bacterial SSU rRNA
Rfam family: Bacterial small subunit ribosomal RNA
Source: RNAcentral
GAUGAACGCUGGCGGCAUGCCUAAUACAUGCAAGUCGAACGAAUUCUUAUUUCUAGUAAAUCCCCAUCCUUUUGGAGCUUUUCUAGAACUUAAGAGUUAGUGGCGGACGGGUGAGUAACACGUUGAUACCUGCCCUAAAGUGGGGAAUAACUGGCCGAAAGGUCAGCUAAUACCGCAUGUGAUCCUUCGGGAUUAAAGACUUCGGUCGCUUUAGGAGGGGUCUGCGUCUGAUUAGCAGUUGGUAGGGUAAAGGCCUACCAAGGCGACGAUCAGUAGCUGGUUCGAGAGGAUGACCAGCCACACUGGGACUGAGAUACGGCCCAGACUCCUACGGGAGGCAGCAGUGGGGAAUAUUGGACAAUGGGCGCAAGCCUGAUCCAGCCAUGCCGCGUGAGUGAUGAAGGCCCUAGGGUUGU